Molecule: long non-coding RNA, 237 nt
Filed under: Mytilus galloprovincialis (Mediterranean mussel)
Lineage: Eukaryota; Metazoa; Mollusca; Bivalvia; Mytilida; Mytilidae
Source: RNAcentral
ACAGUUAGUUAUCGUAGUGUAAUACACGCAGGUAAAGGAAACUUCAAGCUAGUCCGGGGUCAUGUCAGGUCACAGGCCGGACUCACCUGUUCAAGAUUGUGUAUUACAUGGUUAAUUGCUGCUAAAUAAAGUGUCUUUUAUUGAUCAUUCCGAUAACAAUCAAAUGAUUAAAGAAAUAGACAAAUAAAUGAAGAAAAAAGAAAAAGGAAAAAUGGAAAUACAAUCUUUCAAUUAAAC